Archocentrus centrarchus (flier cichlid) is the source of this 267-nucleotide long non-coding RNA. RefSeq lists it as uncharacterized. The record is from RefSeq and is a predicted model, not a curated record. Lineage: Eukaryota; Metazoa; Chordata; Actinopteri; Cichliformes; Cichlidae. The transcript has 3 exons.
UGCUGGAGCUUUUUGUUUGCCUGUGACUGGAGUGUCAGAUUUCUAUUCGGGGGUUGCAGCUUUCCUGUGCUGGAGAAACCACUUCACACCUGCAGAGGUGGACCGUGAUAUGAUGGUGACCCAGGCUGCCACCUUUGGUCUUGUGAGGAAGCAAAGCUCAGGAAGAAGGAAUCCCUGCAGUCCUGUUCUUUUAGCUCCAAGCCUGCUCAGCUUUAAUCACAGAGGAAGCAGCAGACAGUUUGAGAGGUUUGGGCUCACAGAUGGUGA